AUGAAUCCGGCCUCGGCGCCAGGCCCUGAUGGCCUUCCGGUUCAUCUUUUCCAGGCUUUUUGGCCGGUGGUCAAGGAAAUUAUCCUUGAUCUGAUCCGUGAGUUCUCUAGGGGAACAUUAGACGUGUCCCGGCUUAACUACGGGAUCAUGUCCCUGAUCCCCAAAGUUUCGGGAGCCGCUGAUAUCAGGCAGUUCUACCCUAUCACUAUUCUUAAUGUUAUCUUUUGGAUUCUGGCCAACGGGUACGCCACUAGGGCGGCCCUAAUUGCUCCCCGGAUUCACCACCCGAACCAGUCGGCCUUCACGAAAGGCAGGUACAUUCUGGAUGGGAUCCUCAUUCUCCACGAGGUCAUCCAUGAGGUCAAGAGCAAGCACCUUCACGCGGUGUUCUUCAAAAUUGACUUUCAUAGAGCAUAUGACACAGUCCACUGGUCCUUCCUUCGGGAAGUAUUGCUCAAGCGUGGGUUCGACUCCCACUGGGUAGCCCGGGUGAUGCAGUUAUUGACGAGUGGUCGCACGGCUGUGAACGUUAAUGGGGAGAUUGGGCCUUAUGUCUUGACUGGACAGGGAGUUCGGCAAGGUGAUCCGAUCUCCCCAUUUCUUUUCAACUGUGUGGUUGAUGCGCUAGCUUUGAUCCUAGAUUUGGCCAAACAGGCCGGUCACAUUAGGGGGUUUGCCAUCAUCUUGUGGCCAACGGAGGUCUGA
This 705-nucleotide ribosomal RNA is filed under the name Triticum aestivum (bread wheat). RNAcentral's name for it is "partial small subunit ribosomal RNA". Lineage: Eukaryota; Viridiplantae; Streptophyta; Magnoliopsida; Poales; Poaceae. The record is from RNAcentral.